Molecule: long non-coding RNA, 369 nt
Filed under: Panax ginseng (ginseng)
Lineage: Eukaryota; Viridiplantae; Streptophyta; Magnoliopsida; Apiales; Araliaceae
Description: long non-coding RNA (PGIN_LNC010720)
Source: RNAcentral
CUUAUUAGUAUGGAUCAGACUAGUAUUCAAAUAUGAUCCAUCGAACAGGUAUUGAGUAUGGUUCGAAAAAAAAUGAAAUACUCGAAUCCUAAUCUGAGUGAAUAUUGGUAUACUCGAAUUCGACUCGUGUAUCAUUAAACAUAAAAUAAGUAUGGAUCAUAUCCGACUCGAAUCAAAGAUUCGAAUUUGAGUUUUAAAUCAUAUUUUCGAAUCAAUCUCGAGUCGAGUAUCGAGCUACCUUGCUCGACUAACACCCCUAUGUUUAAUAUUGUAGUACUCGUAUAAAUCUUUUAUCUCAGCUCUCCCUUCAUUUCCCCUUCAUUUUCUCCAUGCAUGUUAAUACUCCACGACACACGUAUUAAUUAUUAC